UUUUUCCCUUUCUAUUUCUUUAUUCCCCUUUUUGCGAGUUAUUUUUUUCCCUUUUCUGGAACUUUGCUGCGCACUUCAUUCUCGAAGAACAACGACACCAUAAGCUUUCUUUGUGCUCGAAUCUGGUGAAAACGGCACCAAAACCGCCAUUUUUUUUAGAUAUGAGACAUAGAGACUCUAAUCACUGGAGCACACAAACUGGAGCACCAAGGUAGCAUGUCCCAACACAAGAGUCUCAAAGUCAAAGUCAGGGAGGAAGUUCCUCAACACCAAGGCAACAUGUCCCAACACAAGAGUCUCAAGCUUAUGUGCCUAUGCAUGAAAGAGGUAUUGGUGUAUACACCUACCCAAAUGGAUUUCAGAGACAGUCAUGGCAAACUGGAAACAAAAGGAAGCCUAAUUCUGAAGCAACUACUACAACUGAAACCAUUACAAGACUAUGAAGAGUUGAAGUACUAGCAUCAAGGCAGAGCAGCAACCCUUCUGUUUCUGGUUUUUUUAUUUUUAUUUUUUUUUUCUACAAAAUCUGGCAAAACAUUGCAAAAUUUAUGCCUAAAUAACAUGCUCAAUGAACCUGUUUUGUUGCUGGUUAAGCUGCUGUUGUUGAUGAACUUAUGGCUGGGAGCAAGUCUUUUUCUGGUUCAAUUGGUGCUUGUAAUGCAGAAGCUCAUGCCAUGUUUUUUGGCCUCAAAUAUGCGUAUGAUGCUGGGCUUAGGAGAUUGAAGGCCUCUUCGGAUUGCCUUCAUCUAAUCAACUUGCUGCUGUCUGUUUGAUGUUCUAAGCAUGACUAGUUUGUUUGAUGUUUGUUGCUUUUCUUUUCAGUCUAGAACUUGUAAUAAGGUAGCUGUGAAUGAUAUUCUAAGCAAAACUUUCCCUCAAUUUGAUUGAGGAGCAGCUGUGGAUGGAGGACUGCCCAUCUGUUUCUUUUAAUCGAAUGCCUGCAGGUUUACACUAAAAAAA
This is a long non-coding RNA of Chenopodium quinoa (quinoa), 960 nucleotides long. RefSeq lists it as uncharacterized. The record is from RefSeq and is a predicted model, not a curated record. Lineage: Eukaryota; Viridiplantae; Streptophyta; Magnoliopsida; Caryophyllales; Amaranthaceae. The transcript has 4 exons.